CUGGUUCGGGGCUAAUGAGGUUUCAACAGCCUGCUCCGUGGCUGUCUUUGGCAAUCAGGAAUCUGUGCCAUCCAAAUUGCUUGAUCCAGUGAAUCUGCUAGGAAAGGUCUCUGAGGCCCCCGUCUGCUGACUGCAUGACAAACCCUAAAGGAAAUGCCAAUCGUGAUGGCCCGGGACCUGGAGGAAACAGCAUCAUCCUCAGAGGAUGAGGAGGUCAU
This 218-nucleotide small RNA is filed under the name Pan troglodytes (chimpanzee). RNAcentral describes it as "processed transcript". RNAcentral also lists the same sequence under 1 other name. The record is from RNAcentral. Lineage: Eukaryota; Metazoa; Chordata; Mammalia; Primates; Hominidae.